RNAcentral lists this ribosomal RNA (426 nucleotides) under uncultured bacterium. Its description in RNAcentral is "bacterial SSU rRNA". It matches the Rfam family "Bacterial small subunit ribosomal RNA", at positions 354 to 796 of the family's 1533-position model. The record is from RNAcentral.
GUAGGGAAUAUUGGGCAAUGGGCGAAAGCCUGACCCAGCAACGCCGCGUGUACGAUGAAGGUCUUCGGAUCGUAAAGUACUUUUCUGGGAGAUGAGAAAGGACAGUAUCCCAGGAAUAAGCUUCGGCUAACUACGUGCCAGCAGCCGCGGUAAAACGUAGGAAGCGAGCGUUAUCCGGAUUUACUGGGCGUAAAGCGCGUGUAGGCGGUUUGGUAAGUUGGAUGUGAAAUCUCUCGGCUCAACUGGGAGAGGUCGUUCAAAACUACCAGACUAGAGGACAGUAGAGGAAGGUGGAAUUCCCGGUGUAGUGGUGAAAUGCGUAGAUAUCGGGAGGAACACCAGUGGCGAAAGCGGCCUUCUGGACUGUAUCUGACGCUCAGACGCGAAAGCUAGGGGAGCGAACGGGAUUAGAAACCCGUGUAGUCC